Molecule: ribosomal RNA, 253 nt
Filed under: uncultured bacterium
Lineage: Bacteria
Description: partial 16S ribosomal RNA
Rfam family: Bacterial small subunit ribosomal RNA
Source: RNAcentral
UACGGAGGGUGCAAGCGUUAUCCGGAUUCACUGGGUUUAAAGGGUGCGUAGGUGGAUUAGUAAGUCAGUGGUGAAAUCUCCGGGCUUAACCCGGAAACUGCCAUUGAUACUAUUAGUCUUGAAUACCGUGGAGGUCAGCGGAAUAUGUCAUGUAGCGGUGAAAUGCUUAGAUAUGACAUAGAACACCAAUUGCGAAGGCAGCUGGCUACACGAGCAUUGACACUCAGGCACGAAAGCGUGGGGGUCAAACAGG